GUCUAUGGCCAUACCGCACUGAACACACCCCAUUUUGUCUGAUUUUGGAAGCUAUGCAGAGCCAGACCUAGUUAAUUUGUGGAUGGGAGAGAGGAAAAAAAUGGAUGGGUGAGCCAGGGUCU
Molecule: ribosomal RNA, 122 nt
Filed under: Jaculus jaculus (lesser Egyptian jerboa)
Lineage: Eukaryota; Metazoa; Chordata; Mammalia; Rodentia; Dipodidae
Source: RNAcentral